GUAAGGAAUAUUGGUCAAUGGGCGGAAGCCUGAACCAGCCAUGCCGCGUGCAGGAAGACGGCCCUACGGGUUGUAAACUGCUUUUGCAGGGGAAUAAACCCCCGUAUGUAUACGGGGCUGAAUGUACUCUGAGAAUAAGGAUCGGCUAACUCCGU
Molecule: ribosomal RNA, 155 nt
Filed under: uncultured bacterium
Lineage: Bacteria
Description: partial 16S ribosomal RNA
Rfam family: Bacterial small subunit ribosomal RNA
Source: RNAcentral